ACACGAAUAUUAACAUUUCAAAAUUAUUAGGACGAAGAACUGCACAGAGAAGGAUUUCAUAGAGAGGAUGAAGCAGUUUAAGGCAGAUCAAAGGAAUAAGGGACGCUGUACCUCCGUCAAGGCCGCAUUAACAAAGAUCGCCAACUCUUGUUUUAACCAGGCGGACAGAUGAGCACGAAUGACCAAAACCAAACGUGUCCUGGAGUGGAUGCAAACGCAGUGUGGGACAUCCUCCUGCCCGCUGGACCGACGAUUUACGUAAAAUUGCCGGUGUAGACUGGAUGAGGAUAGCGGAAAACCGUAAUGUCUGAAGUGCUCGCAACUUUGGCGUUACAAAGGAAAUUACCCAGGGUUGGGUAUAAUUUAAGAAGUUUUGGACGUUUAGAGAAGAAGGCCGCAUCGGGCGACAAGUUUUUAAUAUAAGCAGUGCUAACAAGCAAAAGGUCUUCCAUCCAUGGAAACUUUUAGUAUUCAUUAACAAACAACAUUAAAAUAAAUAAGUAAUUUUAUGCUUAUAUGUGUCCAUUAUUUAAUUAUUAAAAAUUUGAGCACAAUGACAUUAAGUAGCUAUUACCUAAAAUAAAGUACUAGUUUGCCUACCAUAGGAAGAGA
Molecule: unclassified non-coding RNA, 612 nt
Filed under: Melitaea cinxia (Glanville fritillary)
Lineage: Eukaryota; Metazoa; Arthropoda; Insecta; Lepidoptera; Nymphalidae
Description: misc RNA ENSMCXG00005021314.1
Source: RNAcentral